GAUCUUGGUUCAGAACGAACGCUGGCGGCAUGGAUUAGGCAUGCAAGUCGAACGGGAGCAGCAAUGCUCCAGUGGCGCAAGGGUGAGGAACACGUGAACAACCUGCCUUCGAGUUGGGGAUAGCUUCUGGAAACGGGAGAUAAUACCGAAUAACAUCACCGGAUCGCAUGAUUUGGUGAUCAAAGCAGCAAUGCGCUUGAAGAGGGGUUCGCGUCCCAUUAGCUAGUUGGUGAGGUAACGGCCCACCAAGGCGAUGAUGGGUAGCUGGUCUGAGAGGACGACCAGCCACAUUGGGACUGAGAUACUGCCCAGACUCCUACGGGAGGCUGCAGUCGAGAAUUUUGGGCAAUGGACGAAAGUCUGACCCAAGCAAUGCCGCGUGCGGGAUGAAGGUCUUCGGAUUGUAAACCGCUGUCAAGAGGGACGAAAUAUGACGGUACCUCUGGAGGAAGCCACGGCUAACUACGUGCCAGCCGCCGC
This 480-nucleotide ribosomal RNA is filed under the name uncultured bacterium. Its description in RNAcentral is "bacterial SSU rRNA". It matches the Rfam family "Bacterial small subunit ribosomal RNA", at positions 15 to 518 of the family's 1533-position model. The record is from RNAcentral.